This 981-nucleotide long non-coding RNA is filed under the name Pan troglodytes (chimpanzee). RNAcentral describes it as "long non-coding RNA NONPTRT000766". Lineage: Eukaryota; Metazoa; Chordata; Mammalia; Primates; Hominidae. The record is from RNAcentral.
AUGGCUCAUGCCGGUAAUCCCAGCACUUUAGGAAUUUAGGCAGGAGGAUCACUUGAGGCCAGGAGUUCAAGACCAGUCUGGGCAACAUAGUAAGACCUUGUCUCGGCUCACUAGGGUUAGGGUUAGGGUUUUAGGGUUGUUAGGGUUAGGGUUUUAGGGUUGUUAGGGUUAGGGUUUUAGGGUUGUUAGGGUUAGGGUUAGGGUUUUAGGGUUGUUAGGGUUAGGGUUAGGGUUUUAGGGUUGUUAGGGUUAGGGUUUAGGGUUACGGUUAGGGUUAGGGUUUAGGGUUAGGGUUCGGGUUCGGGUUCCGGUUAGGCUUAGGGUUUAGGGUUAGGGUUAGGGUUAUUGGUUAGAGUUAGGGUUAGGGUUAGGGUUCAGGUUAGGGGUUACGGUUUAGGGUUAAGGUUAGGGUUAUUGGUUAGGGUUAGGCUUCGGGUUUGGGUUCUGGUUGGGGUUGGGGUUUGGGUUCGGGUUAGGGGUUAGGGGUUAGGGUUUAGGGUUAGGGUUAGGGUUUUUGGUUAGGGUUAGGGUUCGGGUUCGGGUUGGGGUUGGGGUUUGGGUUAGGGUUAGGGUUUGGUUUUAGCGUUAGGGGUUAGGGGUUAGGGUUAGUGUAGGGGUUAGGAGUUAGGGGUUAGGGUUAGGGUUUUGUGUUAGGUUUAGGGUUAGGGUAGGGUUAGGGUUAGGGUUAAAGUUAGGGUAAAGGCGUUAGGGUUAGGGUUAGAUUACAAUUUCUAACCUGUUUUAUUUUGUUUUUUUUCUGAGACAGGGUCUCCCUCUGUUGUCCAAGGCUGGAGUGUAGUAGUGCUAUCGCAGCUGACUGCAGCCUCAACCUUCCAGGCUGAAGCGAUCCUCCUACCUCAACCUCCCACGUGGCUGAGACUACAGGUGCUUGACACUAUGCCCAACUAAUAUUUGGAAUUUUCGUAUACGUGGAUUCCAGAGGGGUGACAGUGUAACGUGGGACCAUCCAGUUUCAGGAAA